Molecule: long non-coding RNA, 665 nt
Organism: Drosophila ananassae
Lineage: Eukaryota; Metazoa; Arthropoda; Insecta; Diptera; Drosophilidae
Exons: 2
Source: RefSeq, a predicted model, not a curated record
GGAGAGCUAUAACUGGCGUUAUAGUCGAAGCAGUCGAAAACGACACUCAGCGAAGCGAGAUCGGGGGCGCGCACGACGUUAUGCGUGUGGAUCGUGGGAGAUUGGGAUGAAAUCAUUCCAAUGUUGCAUCCCCACCCCCCCAGCUUUAAAACAAAAACAAACUUUGGCGCAUGGACCGAAAAAAAAGAGAGCAAGAGAGGAGAGAGUAACAAAUGACAACAACUCUCUCUCGUACGAAUGAGAAAUCAAAACAAAUUGCAAAAGAAUAGAGAUUUUCCGACGUCUCCUUUGCCUUGCCUUCGCUGGGUUAUGUGUAUAUGUUUUGACGAGCGUGUACCUAAGCGUAUGCGCACCGCCACAGGCGGACAGAAUGGAAAAUAUACAAAAUUAUUUGCUGCACUCGAACACACCGAUUCACAGGCAUACACUUGGCACUCUUUCGAGAGUGCAGUAUGCAUUAUGCACGCUAUAAACAAUUGCGGAAAAAAAUAGCACUUGGUUUCGUGGCCCCCGUUGGCUGAUGGCUACGUCAUAGCACUAAAAUAAUGGCGCGCUUUUUUUUUUACAGCACACACAUUAUAAACAAAUUCGCUUAAAUUAAAGAAAAAAACCAUAAUCAAUUAAGUUUUGCGAGUAUCAUUUAAUUUAGAACAAUUUGCUAGGGA